Molecule: long non-coding RNA, 246 nt
Filed under: Lathyrus oleraceus (garden pea)
Lineage: Eukaryota; Viridiplantae; Streptophyta; Magnoliopsida; Fabales; Fabaceae
Description: Pisum sativum (pea) long non-coding RNA (PSAT_LNC036094)
Source: RNAcentral
AACAGAAUGCCAAUACAUGGACUUACACCCGACUCCUAACACCAAAAAGGAAACAGAAUGCCAAUACAUGGACUUACAUCCGACUCCCAACAAAAACAAACGCUAACCAGCGAACACCAAAGAAAAAGGAAAGAAUGCCAAUACAUGGACUUACACCCGACUCCUAACACCAAAAAGGAAACAGAAUGCCAAUACAUGGACUUACAUCCGACUCCCAACAAAAACAAACGCUAACCAGCGAACACC